GCGGGUGUCGUAUAACGGUUAUUACGCUACCUUGCCAAGGUAGUGACGGCGGUUCGACUCCGCUCACCCGCU
RNAcentral lists this transfer RNA (72 nucleotides) under Candidatus Nealsonbacteria bacterium CG_4_9_14_0_8_um_filter_35_12. RNAcentral's name for it is "tRNA-Gly". It matches the Rfam family "tRNA". Rfam says of the family: Transfer RNA (tRNA) molecules are approximately 80 nucleotides in length. Their secondary structure includes four short double-helical elements and three loops (D, anti-codon, and T loops). Lineage: Bacteria; Candidatus Nealsoniibacteriota. The record is from RNAcentral.